This is a non-coding RNA of Schistosoma mattheei, 46 nucleotides long. Lineage: Eukaryota; Metazoa; Platyhelminthes; Trematoda; Strigeidida; Schistosomatidae. The record is from Rfam.
GCAUUGCUGAAGAGUCCUGCAAUAGGACGAAACAGCUGUCCAAUGC